GUGACUGCGUACCUUUUGUAUAAUGGGUCAGCGACUUAUAUUCUGUAGCAAGGUUAACCGAAUAGGGGAGCCGGAGGGAAACCGAGUCUUAACCGGGCGUUAAGUUGCAGGGUAUAGACCCGAAACCCGGUGAUCUAGCCAUGGGCAGGUUGAAGGUUGGGUAACACUAACUGGAGGACCGAACCGACUAAUGUUGAAAAAUUAGCGGAUGACCUGUGGCUGGGGGUGAAAGGCCAAUCAAACCGGGAGAUAGCUGGUUCUCCCCGAAAGCUAUUUAGGUAGCGCCUCGUGAAUUCAUCUCCGGGGGUAGAGCACUGUUUCGGCUAGGGGGCCAUCCCGGCUUACCAACCCGAUGCAAACUGCGAAUACCGGAGAAUGUUAUCACGGGAGACACACGGCGGGUGCUAACGUCCGUCGUGAAGAGGGAAACAACCCAGACCGCCAGCUAAGGUCCCAAAGUCAUGGUUAAGUGGGAAACGAUGUGGGAAGGCCCAGACAGCCAGGAUGUUGGCUUAGAAGCAGCCAUCAUUUAAAGAAAGCGUAAUAGCUCACUGGUCGAGUCGGCCUGCGCGGAAGAUGUAACGGGGCUAAACCAUGCACCGAAGCUGCGGCAGCGA
RNAcentral lists this ribosomal RNA (617 nucleotides) under Salmonella enterica. RNAcentral's name for it is "partial 23S ribosomal RNA". It matches the Rfam family "Bacterial large subunit ribosomal RNA", at positions 593 to 1211 of the family's 2925-position model. Lineage: Bacteria; Pseudomonadati; Pseudomonadota; Gammaproteobacteria; Enterobacterales; Enterobacteriaceae. The record is from RNAcentral. RNAcentral also lists the same sequence under 36 other names.